GGGGAUUAGUUUAAUUAAAACGAAUGAUUUCGACUCAUUAGAUUAUGAUAAGCAUUAUAAUUACCA
Molecule: transfer RNA, 66 nt
Filed under: Peromyscus maniculatus (North American deer mouse)
Lineage: Eukaryota; Metazoa; Chordata; Mammalia; Rodentia; Cricetidae
Description: tRNA-Arg
Source: RNAcentral